CUCAGAGAAUUAAAAGGCGUAUUUUUUUUAACUUUAAUCAAAAGACGUUAUUUGAACAAAAAAAAAAAAAAAAAAAAAUCAAAAGACGUUAUUUUAAUUUAAUAACGGCAAAACCUUAGAAUUUAGGACGGGGCUUGUACUUUGUGCACUUUGUAUAAUAGUUGGUUGGUUUAAAGAAUAAAAGAGGAUUUCGAAGAGAAUUUUUCUGUUAUUGGUUCUCUCAGUACCGUACAUGGCCAACAAUGAACUUGACAAAUUACGCAGGUAUCCCAUAUGAUUUUGACUACUUAUCUCAACUAUGCAAUCUCUUAGAAACAUCCAUAGGGACAGUAUCUCCGCAUGAAUCUAUCACUAGUUUAUUGAUAUUGAAUUAAGGUUUUUCAUUUUUUUGAAAAAUGCAGUAAAAAUUCUGUCAAAUAAGAAACUUUGAAGAAUUUAGUCAUAUAAAAAUGAAAAAAAAUUGUUAUCAUAAGUAGACUAUCAUUUUCUAAAAAUAAACUCAAUAAAAAAACAUUUGGAUUAUGGUUUAGUGAUUAUUGUUUAGGGUUUAAUUUUGAUGGGUGGAGUUCGAUUUAUAAACUUCUUUAAAUGUUUUAUAAAUUAUCUUAUAAAAAUUUAGGAACGUUUUUUUAAUGGUUUUUCAUUAAUUAAUUAUCCUUGAAGGAUAAAUUUAAAAAUGCUACAAAUUUACUGUAAAAUUGAAAUUCCCCUAAAAAAAUUUUGAUGAAUUUUUCAAGUUUUUGGAAAAAUCUUAACUCAAUUUUGUUAUAAUUAAUAAAAUAUUAUGUUGAAAAACUGUUCAAAAGUUUUAACGGAGUUGAAAAAAAAAAUAUUUAACGGAUUAUAUUAAUAUGAUACAACCGUAAAAGUCAAAUAUUUGAAAUUAUUUUUGAGUAAAAAAAACAGAUUCACCUCUUAUUAUUCAGUUAUACUAUUUAUAAAUUUAUUAACAAAUGAACGGAAACAAAUUUAUGAGGAAAAAUACACAUCAGCUACACUAAAAUGAAAUAAUCAUCAAUUUUAAUAAAAUAUUAUUAUUUAUUAUUUUAUUUAUAAACUAAUCUCGAAAUGGAAAAGGAAAGCUAGCACGACCUAUAGUACAAAAUUGUAUUCUUUACAUUCAGCAUAAUUAUUAUUGUUUUUAAGCGAGUGAUAGCAAAAUCUUCGUUGUUUAUAUAGAUGCAGAACUAUCAGUUUGGUUUACAAAAUCAAUAUUAAUUUGUUUAAGUUGCUGACAAAAACAAAAUUAGCAAAAUCUUUGUAUUUUUGGAUUAUUAAAUUAAAAAAGUAUAAUAAGUUGGUGAAAUUCUAACUUUACUCCAAAUUUGAUAUCAUUUUCAAAUUUACUUUUAAAUAACAAAUAUUUUCAUAAUACCUUAAGUUUAUUAUAAAAUGACUAAAUUAAACAUCCCAAAACAUUUAUAAAUAUGUAAGAAUUAUUUAUAGAAUUUUAAAACCUAACCACACCCCUAAUACUAAAUCUUAAACAAUAAUCACAAAUUCAAAUGUUAAAAUAAAAAAUUAUUGAGUGUACUUUUGUUAAACAAUAAUAUAUUUUAACUAAUUUCUCUUAUAAGUUUUUUUUGUCAAUGUUUCUUAUUGAACAACAAGUUAUAUACGAUCUUCGUGAAAGACCAACAAUUGUAGUAUACCAAACAAAAAGGCCAAAAUGAAUGUGGACAUAUCCCUCUUUUGAUUAAAGAUAACCACAUUUUAGAUCAUUAUUUUGAACGAAGAAACUUUAAAACUUAAAUUAGUAACAGAAAUAUGAACUUUCCAUUAUUAAAAAUAACGAAAAUCUCAUAACUUUAAUAAAGCCAAGAAAAAAUUAUUUUAUUGCAAAAAUACCUAAGUAGCUUAAAUUUAUAAGAAGUCCUAUUUUCACAAAUGACUUUUUGUAAACUACUACUUCAAAAUUAACUUUUAUGUAUUUACUUGAAUGGUACAAAACUAUAGAUGUUUCUCAUAAACCGUCGAGAGAGAAUUAGUGGCUGUUGCUGUCUUGAUGACGUCACCGAUGACAAUAUUCACAGAAGUGACAGUGCCUUUUUACACUCAGAGAGACCCCCUAAGACCAUUUAGAGGUCCAAACUACAUUCUCUCAGUUAUUUUUGUUUUUCUUUGAAUAAAAUUUAGAAAAUAGCAAUAAUGCAAUAGUGUUUGAAAAUAAUUAUCUAUUUAAUUUAUGUUUUUUAAACAAAUUUUAUUUAAUUUAUGUUCUUUUGUCUAAAAACAGUCUUAACUUAUUUAACAACAGUUUAAUAGAUUGAUUUGAUAAUUUAUUGAAAGUUAUAUACACUAAACAACUAAAUUGUGGGAAAUAAUGUUCAUAACAGUUUUCUUUAUUAUGAAAAAUUUCUAGCAAAAUGAUCGUUUAAUUAAAACUAAUAAAUCAAGUUUUAUCAUCAUAACAAUUAUCAAUUAUAACAAGUUUUAUCUAAUAAAACUAAUAACAUUUUUCUUGAUCUUAUUAAAUCAAGUUUUAUCAUUAGAACAAUUAUUAUUACAAACUGUUAUCGGUAUACAUAUUAGUUAUAUAAAUUCUUAAACAGACUGACAUUUUACAUCGAUCUCUAAAUUUAUAAGAAAAAGCUCUUAACUACAAAUGGAAAGAAAAUCAAUAUGUUGAAAUUUUGACCAUCUUUAAUAUAUUCGAACAAUAUGUCUCAAAUUUAACCGAAAAUAUUAUAUGUGUGUAAUGCCUGCAAGCUUCAAGUACAUCUACCAAUCUUAUCCAUUAAAACAAAAGCCAUAAUUUCUUUCAUUUAUGAUAUUUUAUUUUAAUCAAUCUCUUAAAAAAUUUAUCACAUUUAAUUAUCCUAUCAUUUAGUUUUAUAAUAGAUAUAAUCACAAAUAUAUCUUUUUAAUAUCUUACUUAAAUCAAUAAUAUACUAUCUUCAAAGAAAAUUUCAAAUUUUUUUACUGUUAAUAUAUAAUAAAUUAAAAAUAUUUAUUCAAGACAAAUAAAUUAAAUAUAAUCAAAUAUACCAACUGAUUGAUAAAAUUUUUUUUUACCUAUUAAUCUAAUAAUUAUUAACAUCAUAUAUAAUUAUUUUGUAGGCCAUUAACUAUUUGUAAAUCACCUCAUUAACAAAAAAAUCCAUAUGUUAUGCAAUCAUAAUAUAUAAUUAUAUAUACAUAUACUCGUGUAUAUUAUUUUUAAUAUUAUAUUAUGAAACCAUAAUAUAUGAUUAAUGUUAUUAUUUUGAUGAUGUCAAAAAAAAUAUCACAACAUGUGAUUGUUCGUUAAUAUUAUUAACAAUUUUUAUCAAAUUAAUACCAUUCUAAAAAAAUAUAAUAGAAUUAUUUUAUAAUCAUAUAAAUAAAUUUAAAUAUAUUUAAUAAUAUAUAUUUAGUACUAGUCUCUAUAAUUAUGUUCAAACGUUAAAUCUAAAUUGAAAAAUAAUUUGACAAAUAAAAUAAAUUGUAAUAUAUAUAAUAAAAAAAUAAAGCAUAUUUUUGUCUGUGAAACAAAUAAAUUUACAAAUAUAGAUAUACUAAUGUAUAUAUUUAACUAAAUGACACUAUUUUCAUUUUUGUUACUUUGAAAUUUAGAUUUGUUCACACAAAUUAAAAAAAAAAAAUUUCUAAUUUAUCUAACCAAAAACAUUGUUAAGUAUUCACCUAAUCAUAAUUCAUCCAGUAAAAAUGCUAACUGGAAAUAUAAAAAGAAAAAACGAAUAAACUUGCAUUGAAAAUUAAAAAUAUCAUCUAAUUUGAAGUAAAAAGAAUUCUCUAAAACAUCAUAUAUUAAAAAUAAAGUGAAUAUGUUCUAAAAAAUAAAUAUAUUCUUCAAACAAAAACACUAGAAAAUUUUCUGGUUUGAAUAGAAUUAUCAAAUUACAAAUUACUUAUCUAAUAUAUCAAUUUGAUUUUUCACCCCAUGCAAAACCGAGAUACGCAACCGACAUAGCUUACAAUUUCCUUAAUUUAAUUUUUAAAAAUAUAUGCGCGGUUGCACAUGUUAAAAUCUAGUAGUCUAAUUAAUACCCGAGUGGCAUUCUAUAGUAUCUUAAGAUAUACUCUCUCUGUUUCAAAAUAGUUGAUGUUUUAGUUAAAUGCACAAAAAUGAAGACAUUCACUUUUUUUAUCUAAAAAGUAGCAUUAAAAUAUAAAAUAAAAUUAAUUCAACCAAUCAUCACAAAAACUAUAAAAUCUCAUUGGUCACACAGUUUUUAAUAAAUCUAAAAUUAAUAUAAAAUAACAAAAUAUCAUGUAUUUUGAAACAUCAAAAACUCUCCAAAACAUCAUCUAUUUAGAAACGGAAAGAGUAGUUAAUAAAGCUAUUUUUAACGGUUGCAGCAGUAAGUUGUUUCAGUAUAAGUGUAUUCAUAUAAUACAAUCAUUCCAUCAUUAAAAUAUGCACUUGUUUGUCGAUUGUUUUUAAACAGCCGAACUUAUCCUUAAAUUUGAGUCUCAAGACUAAACUUAUCUUUGAUGUCUAUAUAAAUUCAGAUAUUUUUAUCUACGAAAUAGGGACUAAUUCCAUUUUUUUAGGCGAAUUGUCCACUAACCUACAGCAACAAAAUGAAAUCAUUAUUUUACAAAAAAAAAAGAAAUCAUUUAUCUACUACUACAACUUGGUUAAUAUGUUGGUUGCGAAUUUAUAUAAUUUUAUACUGUUUUCUUUGUUUCGUAGUUUAUUUGGUUUCGUAGAAAAAGAAAGUGUAAAAUAUUUAUAAAAGAAAAGUGUAAAAUAUUUCGUUAUCUUCCGUUUUACCAAGGGAUCACAAGCACCCAAAUAAAAAUUCGAGAUAUUUCACGUUCGUUUUAAAGAACACAGAUGUAAUCAUUUAUGAAAACAUGGAAUAGAGAAAUGAUAAAAUACCGACAUGAAUAGCAAUUAUAAAAUGAGGAUGUUGGUGGGUUUGACAGAUGAAGAAUGACACGUGGGUAGAGUAGGGUAGGGAGUCUAAUAGAGUACGAAUAAUGAAGAAUGAUGAGAGAUUGAGAGGCUUUGCUUGGUUCAUUUCAAAUUCAAUCCUUCGAUUUCUCUCAUUUAUAUAUAAAUUAUGUAUGUUUUCUAUAUAUGAUUUUUCUAUCUCUGUAGAAAGUGUAUUUUUAAUAUUUGGAAGUUCCCACGAACGAUUUUCAAACUGGUUUACAUCCAUCUGAUUUUUUUUUCAAAUAGCUAUAUGUUUUUCACUUAAUAUAAUACUACUUAUAAAAUAAUGAAAACCGCUUAUUCUACCUCUGCCGGAUUCCACUCCCGACCAAGGUCAGCGGGUCCUCGCUAUUUAUCUUGUGAUACAUGAUACAUCUAAGGCGAGGUUGAUACAGAGAGCAAGCCACCAAACAACCGUUUAUGGCCCAAAAAAUUUAUAAGGCAUAUAUUUUUAAAUUUUAUAUAAAUAAUUUUUUAGUAUUUAUGUAUAAAUUUAGUUUAAAAUUUUAUUGAUGAUUAUAAUAUUUGUUGAAUUUUAUAUUUGUUUAUAAAAUUUUAUUAAUAAAUAUUUUGAAUAAAUAUUUUAUUCAAUAAAUUAGAUUUUAAAAUGCAAAAUCUUGUAUUAACAAAUUAUUUUACUAAAAUUAUGAUUGACAACGGUGAAAUAUUUGUAAUAGCAUUGGCUUAUAUUACUAAGCAGUUAACUUGAUAGUAUAUUUACUAAUCAUUAACGGAAUUGCAUUAGUUUAUAAAAAUUAAAGUGAUUUAUAUUGUAUAAAACAUAAAAAGACAUGUUGUUGAUAUUAGAUAACUCGGUUUUUCAUUUCAGGUAUAUCCGCUUUGCAUGAGACGCAUUGUGUCUUAGGUUUAUUUUUCAUUUUUAUUUCUUUUUUUAGUGCAUUUUUGUAUUUGAAAACAAAAAAAAACAAAAAAAAUAUAAUAUAAAGUCUUUUUUUUUUUUGGUUUAAGACAUAAAAAUGUUGGAUCGGUAUUAGUCAUAUGUAUGUACUAGGGUCUCCCCUACAGAAAAACAACUCACAUACUAUAUUAUUCACUCCAAUAAAAAAGAGCCACAUUUGUGGUAUUCAAAGAACAGAAAAUGGAUUGAUGAAUCAUGUUUUAGCCGCCGCCGAGCUCCAAUCCAGAUCCUUCCUAGCAACAAAGAAGUUCUAGUGGAGGAACAUAGGCUCAAUCUCAUCGAAAAGGUCACAAACCCCAUCCAUCUAGAACCUCAAUGGAGAGAGAGAGAGAGAGAGAGAGAGAGAGAGAGAGAGAGAGAGAGAGAUUUUCUGGACUUUUACUAGUUUUAGAACCUUUCAAAUUUUCACUAAUAAUAAAUAUUUUUAGACUAUUUGCAAUGUAUAGUUGAAUAUUUUUUCCACUGUUAAAUAUCUGACAAUGAGAAGUUAAAUAAAAAAACAGUUGAUGUAGAUUAAAUUUGUUAAAUCUAUCAAAACUCUUAAAAUGAGACAAAAUAAAAUAUAAGCAUUUGUAAAGAGUGAUUUUCACAUAUAGAUACAUUAUGACUUUUUAUUACACUGCAGGGUACAAAGUGCUACUGAGGUAGUUUUUAGUGGUUGAAGACAAAUUUAACCUUCAAAAAGUGAAACCAAGGAUGGACAAUUAUGUAAUUAAACAUGGGCUUUCUAGUUGGACUGGUUAGGGUUUUUUGAAAUUCGAAAACAAUUGGUUUGGUGGUGGUGGACGUGAAUCUCAUAUGAGAUUGAGUUUUUUUUUCUUUACUCGUGAAAGUAAUUGUUUUGUUUCUUUACUCUUUUUAUUUAUUUCCAGUAAAAGUAAGAACAGAGAACUGAAAAACCGACGAACAGAGAAGCCGACGAACAAGAUUUUCAGACGGAGAAGACCUGUCGUCUCGAAGCGGAGAGCUUCAAAGGGCGAGGCUAAAGGUUGGAUACUUUCCUUCCUCCCAGUUUCAUUGAUUUGGAUUUCAGAUUGGAGAUUAGAGUUUUAAUUUCUGGGUUUUGAUUUUUUGAGUUUGGUAAGAGCCUCGACGUGAGGUAUUAGGGUUUCGAUUUGGAGGUACAGUUCUAAAUUUAUGCAAAACUCCCAUUAGGAUUUUGAUUUGUAGAUUAGGAUUUCGAUUUAGGGAUGCGGUUCUAUAUUUCCAAGUUUUCAAAAAAAUAAAUUCUGAUUUUUGUUUGUUUUACAUAGAUGUCGCAAACUGAAGAGGGAGCGGUGAAUGGAGGAAAAGGUCAAAGCUUGUUGCUAGUUUCGGUGUUUUGAAAAAACCGUGGUCGGAUGUACACCAACAUGUGUGUACAUAUGAACAACCAGGAUUUUGUACAUGUGUACACGCAUGUAUAGGUACAUAAUAAGUAAUGUAGAUAUGAGUUUUCUUGUUGAUAGAUUGACAUGUAUAUGUUGUGUUUGUUGGUGUAAGAGUCAGUACAUAUGAACAAUAUCAAUCUAUUCCAUUGCAAAAUAUGAACAUAGUAAUGUAUACCUUCCAACAUAUAGCAAUACCAAUCUAUAUUGAGAACCAUUUAAAACAUUAUUGUAAACUCGAUCAUAUAUGUUAUUGAUGGGGUGGAUGAAAAUUGUUUAAACCAACCAUCUGUAUUGUGAGUGAAAUAAGUGUACACAAGAGAAUGUGUACAUAUGGACAUUAGAAAGAGUGUGUACAUAUGGACAAUAGAGAGAGUGUGUACAUAUGGACAUUAGAUAUCGAGAAUUCGUGGAUUGCAAUAUAACCAUAAAUGUGUAUUUUUAUGACUUUAAAAUUUUAAUUGCUUUAUGUUAGAUAGUUGUAUGUAGUAUCACUAGAUGUAUUUUGUGCUGGAUGAAUGGACUGAAUCUUUGUGAAAAAAUACUCACGUGUACACAUGAGAACAAUAUCCACGUGUAUACAUUAGGAAUGUAGCUGUACAUAUGUACAACUAAUGACCUAGUUACAUGUUUAUAUGGUUUGUAGUGGAGGUGUGUAUUGAAUUUGUUUUGGUUUGCCGUAUUUCAAUGGUUGCAGGCUUAUAGCUGACUAUGCAACCUAUGAUGGAGUAUGGGGAGGACAAGGAGGAUGACUACGUUCAUGGUCUUAUUUUGAGAAUAGAAAUGAUUGUUUAUUCAUGGACAAGAGUCACAAAUCUUCAUUUCUUUGAAUUACAAAAUUACAUGCAUGUUAAUUUACUUUAUUAAUCUUUUUGUUUUUAAUUUCACAACACUUGUUUAUAUAACCUAAUGCAUUUUAGUAAUGGAUCUUUAUAAAUGAAUGGUGUGCAUAUGGAAAUGAUAUAAAGUUGAUGUACACAUUGAUAUCAUAUCAUAUAAAAUUGAUGUACACAACACACAUAUAUAACAUAGACAUCAUAAAAAUAUGGUGUACACAUGGAUAUCAUAUAAAGUUGAUGUACACGUAAACAUCAUAUUAAGUUACAUGUUAUGAAAAUCUUACAAAUUAUUAGAUGAACCAAUAAACUGAUUAUGAAACAAGAUGAUUCUGAAACAAAAAGACACUUUAUUGAAUCUGAAAAUGAAUAAAUCAAUUUUGGAAGACUCAUCUACUCUUUAUAGCUCUCAAGUGAUCAAAAUAAUCACAAUGUACAUACUUUGAUAUUCAACAUAAACCCAGACUUAACAUCUUCUCUAAUCUGCUACAAUAUUAGUUAAAACAAUGAGCACAAGUUCUUUUCAAAGUUUUGUUAACUAACCGAGUUUUUUAAAGUGAUAAUCAGUGGGGGUUUGGUGUUGAUUAGCACAGUUUUUUUUUUAAUGCUGAUGAACAACAAACCCAAGCAAAAAACGCACAAGUGGGAGAAAGAAGAGAGAUAGAGGUGAGGUUAAUCUGAGCCGUCCAUAAAAUAACUAGUUCAUCGAACGGUUCUGGUUCAAAGCAGGUAAAUGUCUUAUCCAGAUCUGCUUUUCCAAUAAUUAAUCUCAGCCGUUGACAAUGUGAGGGAAUGUGUGGCUGGGAAGAAAAGCCCGCCAAUUGGAUAACGAGUUAGUUGAGAUGGGGUUGGGAGCAAACGAAAAAGGAAGAAGCUAGUUGAGAAAGUGUGUUUGUAGUGGAAAGUGACUCACCAUGUAAAUAAAAGUAGAAAUGUGUCCUAGAGUGUAAAUCUUUCAUUUGUAAAUUGGUGAAAGAAAUACUUCUUAAUUAAAUUAAAACUAAAUAUAUGGUAUUUUAUUAUUGGUUAUACAGAUUUUUAGAAUUUAUUUUUCAUCCAAAUUUAUAGAGAUUAGUUAUUACAUAGUAAAUUAUUUUUUAAUUAUUAAUUUUGUACCAAAGGUUAUUAUUUUAUGAAACCUAUAAAAAGACUUAUUUCAUUUGAAUACCAAAUCAACACUCAAAAUUUUAUAACAUACCUUUUUGAUUAUUCAAGAUCUCGUAUUUUCAUAUACAAAUCUAAGACAAAAAAAUUACUAAAUUACUUAAAUUCUAGUUAUUUUGAUUUACUUCUAAUUUAUUAUUGAUAUGAUAUAUAAGUAUACAAAUGCAAAUAAAAAUAAAAACAGAGAAAAUAGUGGAGUAAGGUGUUGAAUUUUGUUGAACAAAACUAUUAUAAAUAUAAAACUGAACAUACGUUGAAUUAAUAAGUGGAAGAUAAAAAAAAAAGAUUAUGUAGAGUAAGAAAAAAUAUAAAUUAGAGUGUUGAAUACUAAAUACCAUUGUACAUAUUCUAAUAAUAAAUGCUUAAUAAAAUUUAUGCAUCACUUACCAAAUCUCAAAUAUAUAUAUUUUAGAAAGAAAAAAUUAGGUGGAAAUGGUUCAAUGCAACAUUAUUCACGUUUUUCUGUUUCUCAAUUCUCCUAGAUCUUUGUGAUUGGUAUUUCAAACAAUUCUGGUAUUAUUACUCUCCUUUAUUUUUUCCUCUGGUUACUGCCAUGUACAGUAAUUGUCCCACUGUCUCACAGUAGUGAGAAAUGACUAAAUGAGGAGUCAGCAUGUCAAGAUUCUCCAAUUGAUGCUUUCUCUUGUUCUUUAACUCAACAAAACAGUUAUCUGACCAAGUUACAAACCUUUUUUUUUUUGAACAUCACAAACUUUUUUUUAACUGAAAUUACAAACUCUUGAGCUUCUGUUUAUCGGUCUCAACCCUUAUAAUCAAGGACUGGAAGGAAUAUUGGAAUGCUAAGCAUGGUGUACCUUUUUGGGGGUCAAAAUCUCACUCUAUCAAGUCAAGUUUUGAACUAUUUAAUUGAUAGUUCAAUUUUAGUUUAAAAUUACAAAUUAAUUAAAUAAGUAAAUCAUAUCAAGAUUUUGAUCCAAAAAAAGUAAAUCAUAUUAAGAAUCUAAAUAGUAUAUUUUGAAAAGAAUUUUUAACCGAUAUUGAUGUUCUAAUUAAAAUAUAUUUGCAUAUUUAAAAGAUGUUUCUAUACUAGGAUAAAUAAUAAAUUUUAAUUUAUGCUAAAAUACUGAAGUGAGAUGAGCUAACGAGCAGUAGUCUAGUAGAUAUACAUAAAGUAUAUAUUAAACUGUCUUGUUCUUCUUCUUUUGAGCAAAUAUAUACAGCAGUCAGCAGGUAUAUAUAAACUGUCUUGUUUACAUUGAAUAAUGGGUUUGGAUAUUUGGAUAUAUUUUUUUUUGAACAUUAGGAUAUUUGGAUAUUUUGUCCGAUUCGAGCCAAUUUUAGUUUUUGACAUUUCAUGUAUAAAGAUAUAUAAUUAGGUGGAUAUUUAUAAAAUAUUGGUUCUUUGGAAUUUCUGUUCGUUUAUGUAAUAUAAUAAGAAUGGAAAAUGUUAAUUCCCAAAAAUAAUUUGGGUGUGACUCAGUUAUGUUCAAAUUUUCCUGUUUUGUUUUUGCGUAAUUUUAGGUAAUUUAAAUAAAAACUAGUUGAAAGGUGCGGGCUAAUAUUUACCUAAUAAUUUUACUUUUAAGGUUUAUUUUCUAUUUUUUAUUAAAUUAGAUAAAAAAAUAUAUUAAUAUUCUAAAUUAUAAAACUUCAAUAUUCAUAUUGGUAAUCAAUGUAUUAAAUUAUGUUCUUUUAUUUCAUAGUUUUAUUUAGUGGAUGAAGAUUUUGGAUCAAUAUAUUUUAUAUAGUAAUAAUUAAAUUAUAAAACUGUUUUAAAAUUAGACACUUAUUUUACUCCUGAACUGAAAAGAAAUCUAAUGACAUUGAAAAAAUUAUAAAUAAUCACAACUCAUGAAAUAUCAAUGAAAUAACAAUAGUCAACACAUUUUUUUAUGAUUUAAAUUUUAAAAACAGUGAGACAAAAACACAAAAAAAAUAAACUACAAAACAUUAUCUAUGUAUCCUCUUAGAUUAUAUUUAUAUUAUGUUUAUUAUUUGUUCAUUUUUAGUGUUAUUUAAUGUUUUAAUCCUAGUUUUUCAUCCUCUUAUAUAUUUUUAAAAUAUUUGUAGUUAGGUUUCAUUUUGUAGUUUAGGUAAAAUUUAGUAUUUUGGUUUUAAAUAUAAUAUUUUGAUAACAUUUGUGAUUUUACGGAUAAAUUUAUUAUUAGCAUAAAUUCAUUUGUAGUUUUGAUGUACGUCAACAAAUAUAAUUAAUUUAUUUUAGGUUAAAAAUAUGACUGUUUAAUAUUAAAUAUAUAAAUAAUAUUUAAUACAUGUAUAUAAUUUAUAUUUAAUGAUAUAUUUUCAUUGAUGUUGUAGCUUUAAUCUUAAUUUUAAUAUUAUAAUAACCUGUAUGUGGAUCAAUAUUUCUAAUAAGAAUUAGAGAAACUGGCUAUAAUGUUAGUUAUUAAAAUUCUAAACUAAAUAUAAGAUACAUGUGAUUAUGAUAUUAUCAGUAUAUAUUGUUAAUAUCAAUUGUUAAUAUCAAUUUAUUAAUUAAAUGUUCUAAACAUCAUGAUAAGUUUAUAUAUUAAAAUAUAUUUUCAAAAAAUUAAUAGCUAUGUAUAGGUAGAUUAGGUUCAUGUUCAUUCAUUAUAUUAAAUAUCAUAAUAUAUAUAUAUAUAUAUAUAUUAUAAUAUAAUUUGAAUAAUAAUAUUAGUUAAACUAAUGACUUAUCCUAAAAUCAUUGAUAAGAUGCAAAGUAAAAAUUCACUUCUUAUCUUAUAUAUCAUGAUAUAUAUAUAUAUAUAUAUAUUAAAAUAUAAUUUUAAAUAAUAAUAUUAAUUGAAGUGAUAACUUAUACUAAAAUCAUGGAUAAUAUGACAAGUAAGCAAAUUCAUUUUUCAAAUAAUAUUAUAGAUAGAAGAUAUAUAUGAAACAAUUCAAGUGUUUUAGAUUAAAAAAUCAGGUAAUUGGCUAAUUUCAGAUCUUUUAAAUAUAAAAUAAUAGAGGAAUUUUAGAUAAUUUUAUUUUUUGGAUAAAUCGUUUUCGGUAAUUUGGAUAUUUUCCAAUAAAGAUAUUCAGUUUAUAAAUUAUAUUUGUGAACUUUUUUUAUAACAUUAAAUUUGUGAACUUUGAAGGUGGUUUACUUCUGUAUUGCAAUGUCAUUUGAAGUUCUUCUGAAAGCAAGAAGACAACUUGAAGAGUUGGGUUUCACCUGUAAAGCUGUGAACGAUGGUCUAUGAUUGCAGGUUAUUUUUCCUUAAACUUGCUUGUUUUCGCAUUCAGCAAGUAAGAAAUGUAGGAAUUGUAGAUUAGCUCAUGCUUUGAUAUAUUUGCACGUAAUGCGUCUUAGGGUAUUUUGGAGUAAAGUUGGAGGCAUUUAUCAUGAGCAGUCCUACUCUAGUGUUAUAUGUUUGCUUGCAUAAAUGCGAUAAUGUCUUUCUGUUUAUCUUGAGCAGAACCAAAGGAACCUUCACUAGGGAGACUGAGCGGGAGAACCAGAGUUGUACCAUAUCAGUUGAUACGAGGACACCUUUGUGUCACUUUCCACUUUUUGGUUUUGGACUUUUGAGUACGGUUUUUUAUUUGCUUACUUAUAACCAACUAUCUUGCUCUAGUUCUCGCUUAACUGUGACUUCUUGUUUUUUUCUGUUUGGUAAAUGGUUUCUCUCAGCUGCGUUUUUUUUUCGUUGUACAGAGUUGAAUUUGAGGAUGUAUGUCCAAAGACUAGCUAAUGGUCAUGCAGAGCAUCCUCCUGAAUUCUUCUAUACUGGCUCUCUUUGGAAGGUAUAACAAACUCAUAUCUCAGUGAGCAAGCUUUCUCUUUGGAGACAUUCAGUGAUGAAAUUUUGGUUUGAUGAAACGCCUUUUAAAUACCAUAUCCCGAUUAGCAUUCAGGCGUCAAUAAUGAGGACCUUUAAGGACGCCGAACUAUUGGUAACCAACAGCGAGAUCACAUGUUUUCCUCACAUUAAAUUGGUAUGUUAUAGUACUUAACAUGAUGAUCCAUUCUACACGUUUGUUUCUUCACCAUCGUAAAACAGAGUUAAUGGACUCAGUAAGGAAACUCACUUUUCUUUUUUGUUCGUCCCAACCAAACCCGCAGCUACUUGAGUAGUCAUAUCUUCCGAAAGUACAUUCUCUUCUUUUCCUCAUUCAGGUCCACAUUUAGAUAGAUCCCCGUGACAAAGUUACUGCACGUCACCGAGUAUGUGUCUAUGAUCUUUUUCAAGUUUUACAUGGUAUUCAUGCGCGGAAUGACAAACUUUUAAGUGCUGUUUUGAUGCAUCUAAUUUAUAGUUUUAUUGUCGAACGUGUAUUUCAUGCGUCCAAAUUUUUUCGAAAAUGAUUGAUUUCUAUAACAACACACUACAUAUAUUCUCCUCUGUUCUUGCAGCUAAUCUGCCCGUCGAAAAGAGAAGUGAUGUCGUUUGGGGACUUCAAGCAGAGAGGAACUCUACUGACCAAGCUCCCAAAGGUUGAGAAUGGCAUACUGCACUACCCUUCGACGAGUUCAACGAACUUAACCAGAAUGGUGCUAUUAGAAUCACGGCCCUGAUUUGGCCCUGAUUAAGCUCGUCCAGAGUCUCCUAAAACUCUACCAUUGUGUGUAGAAAUAUUUUCAUGUGUCAUGAGCUCGUAAAAGAGUUAUUAUUUCAAAACUUGUGAAUGGAACAAAGACAAGGUUUUAAUUCAUCUCUAUCCUACUGAUUUUCUAUUUCAGUUGAUUAUUUUCUAAUUUCUAUUUUGUUGAUGGUGAGGCUGAUGAUCGAAGUGGUCCAAUAAUAGAUUGGAAACCUAUAUCUCCCAAAGACAGGUUGGCAUAAAUGCGACCAAAAUUCACAGGAUAUGCGUAGGAGUAAAACAAGCAUGAUAUUUAUCUUCUAUAUCAGUUUUAUAUUUGUUAUAUGUUAGAAACAAGCAUGGUAGUCAAAUUUUUUUUUGUUGUUCUUUUGACUGAUAAUCAGAUCGUAGAGCCUAUUUCAUCAUUAUCAACUUUUAACAUAUAUAUUGGUGUAUGCUAGGAUGUGUUGGCCCAAGGUUUUUGAAUACCAUAUGCAAAGAGUUACUCUCACAUGAGAGAUUAAUCAAGCAAACGGUGAAGGCGGAUCCGCUCAAGUUAAUUUUUGGGAUAGAUAAAUAUGUAAAGGUGCAGAAAGUGAAAAUUAAAACCGAGAUAAGGCGGAAAAGAAGUUAUGUCAAGAACAAAAGUAUAAUUUAACAAAAGCUGGACACACCGGAGAUCAGUUCCGAAUUAAAUCUGAUUGCCAUCAGAAUUUUCAUCUCUCUCUGAAAGAUAAAAGAGAAUAGAGAGACAACCAGCUUCAAAACUAUGUAAUUUAUAAAAGACAGAAAGCUGUAAUGAUGUCUUCUUACGAAAACAUUAAUAAUUAGAUACAUGUCAUGUUGAUAUUCUACCAAAUGCUUAAUUUCAACCGCUUGGCUCGCGUGAAUGGCUCUUUUUCUUAUGAAUCUUAUUGAUGGUAGAUCAAAUACAUCUUUAGUUGAUGGUGAUACGGAAUUAACUCUCAAGGAAUUUCUUGAUUAUAUACCAUAUACAACUAAUCACUUAAUUAACCAAUUCUAAACUGGAGUUAUUGCUUCCAUGAUUCGUUACAGAAAAGACUACAAAAAGGAAAAUUAAGCUGGCGUAGUAAAACAAAGAAGGUUGUUUGGGUUAUUUUGGUCCUCGCUUAAUUACAAGUUGCAUUCAAUCUUUGCAAAUGACAGUUGGCAGAAGAAAAAGAUUAGGUUUCAUCCGGACCAUCCCAUAAACAUCAAUUAGUAACAAGAAGUCAAUAAACAAAAAGUUCAAAUAAAAUGACAAAGUAACGAAUUGUUUCCAUAGUGGCCACCUAAGAUAAGAAGUUGCAUGAUAAUGCAGUUCACACGAGAUGACUACUUUUAGACUUACUUUAAUUAGCUUUAUAACCUAAUCUUAGCGUUAUAUAAUGAUGAUGAUUCAUAAGUUAUGAUGGUUUUUCCAAAGUAAAAAUACACUUGUCAAUCUCUGAUUCCGACAUGACUUUAGAUUAAUUCAUAAUUCAUGUUCUAAAAAUCAUAUUUCAUGCCGUGCGAACCCCACUUUUUCAAUGAUAUAGUGGAAUAUCCAAGUCAUGCCUUAAUACCCAUCAAUAUUUUGUUUCACUUAACCUCGUGAUAUAAUCAACAUAAUAGAUGUUAUAUAUUGUGCAUCAUCCAGUCACACAUUAUCAAACUUUAGUUCUGAAACUAAAUUGUAGGUCAGAGGUCAUAGUUUUUCUUGAUUUUUAAUUGUAGGUCAUAGGUCAUAAUUUUUCUUAUCUUAAUAUUCUUAAGAAAAUUGCUAUUGUGGAACCAAUUUGUUGACCGGAGCGAAACCAGCACUAACGAGUAUGUGUGUUUUGAAAAAAACCAACAUCAACAAUAUACAAAGAAAACCAGUUUCAUAGAAGAAAAAAACAGAUGAAAGAUCGGUUAGCCAAUUUGUUUUUGUUUUUUCUUUAAUGUGAAAUUGAUUUAUCAACAACAAAAAAAAAUGUUACAGAAAAGAUUUUUUAUGUUCUUGGAAGUGGGUUCACCCCACUCCAAAUCCGAUCUAAGAAUUCGGGUUAAUAGUUUGAAGGUCCGUUAAGAGAAUAAUAGUAAUAGACCCAUGAAAAAUGAAGGUCAUCCCGAACUCGGAGAAGAAUCAAUGUCUAGUUGACCUGGUUAAACUAAAACGUAAAAAUGAUCGGAGUAUUAAAAACGAUUUUUAAACGCCAGAUCCUCGUUGAAAAUCACGACAAAGGAAAAGGAAAAGAAAAAGAGAAAGGAGUUGUUCAAAAAAAAAAAGGAAAAGGAAAAGAUGAUCCAAAUUUGAUACAUCAUAGCUCUACAUAAAUUACUCUCGAAUUUACGUGUAUGAAUCCCCCAUGUUGAUCAUUGUUGUAUGUGAGCUCUCAAUAAUAUAUAUUUUUCAUACCAAAAUUAUCAGUAAAUAUUAUUUUUAUUAGUCUAAAUCUUAACCCUAAUUUCUAAGUAAAUCUUAAUAUCCAUCGUAUACAUUGUAAACAAUUAAAUCAACAGAAGAGAACCUGAAACAGAUCGUCAAUGGGCAUUCCGACUAAGCCAAAGCUGCGUCAUAGCAUCCAAUUUUAUGUGAUGUCUUCGAUGGGAUAAACAGUUUGUCAUAUGGUUUUGCUUCCAGUACUUAUCUUUUCUCGUUGUUUAUUUCAGUUUACAAUUUAUAAAAACUGGAACCAAAUCAAACCAUCUGUAACCCGAUUUACUGUAGUUCGAUUGAUUAUUUUUUCAAUUUGGAUUUGGCUUAAUUUAGUUAGUUGAAAAAACUUUAUAAUGCCAUCAAGUUUAAUAUCUUCCCGAUUCAAUACAUGAAGUAAUCAAUUUACAUUUUUUUAGUUCGUUCCCUGCUUAAGUUUAUCAACACGUAUUUUCAAAGAUAUGCUGCGAAAAGUUUAUCAACAUUUUUUUAAAAAAGUUUAUCAACAUUUUCUGUUUAUUGUUUGUCCAAAAAUCAUUUUAUCUUUAUUUACUUAAGCCACGAAUUGGAACACGACACAGAACCAUGGAUGUAAACAGUACAAAUGCAUUACACAUAUAAAUCGAAUGGCGAUGAGUGUGCCAAUGUUGGAUUCAACCGACACGAUAGGGUCCCAUGUAUAGUCUCUAUCAACCUAUGAGAAAUUGGUUUAGCUCGACGUUUCUGUCGCAAUUUCUUUUUAUAAUAAAUUCGUUAACGUCUCUAACCAUAUACGUACGUAACUAUUGAUACGUAUUGGGUUUUUUUUUGUUCAACGUGAUACGUAUUGGGGUUUUUUUUUUGUUCAACAUGAUACGUGUUGGUUUUCACCUAAUUAUAAAGCCUCCGAUCAUCCGAUGACGACGAUAUGAUACGUAGUGAGGGUCCAAUCCAUGCAUAUUAUUUAAAUUAUGAACUUCAAAACUGGUACCUAGUUUCGAGAGGACUUUUUUUUUGUCAAUCAAGAGGAGUUUACUUUCUGAAUUUUUUACAGGUGAAAACUGGAAACACUUUCCGAUUUUGAAAUUACAUUCCAAGUCACUUCCUGUUUGAGACAUUCAUUAUCAUAUCAGAAAGACAUUUCUACCUCUCAACCACACACAUCGUACUUAGAAUUUUUUACCCCUCAACAACUUUUUAUUACCUUUUCCAAUUCGUUUAACCUAAAGCCGCUCAAAAUAUUUUUUUUUUUCUCUCAAAAGCUGCGAAACCCUAGAAUCUCUCAAAAACACCAAAUAUGCACCACACUUUCGUCAAUCGACCACCAUGACGAAGCAGAGAGCCCUUAGAUCGAAAAAUCCCUACAUGCAAGGUACAUAUGAAGCUGAUAUGAUGUUGUGAUGUGAGAGUGGAGAUGAUUUCGGGACUCAAGAUGUUGUGAUUCGACGAGUGUCUCGGGAAUGAAGCCGUAGAGAUAGUGGAGAUGAUGAGUUGAGGAGAAACAAGAUGGAUUGUGGAUUCGAACUCGGGUCUGGUGGUGGUGAGUGAAUAAUGAGUCGGUUGAUGGAGAGGAUAUGUUGUGUUUGCUGGAGAGAUGAAGCGACGUUGCGUACGGUCAUUUUAUGUGGAGUUGAUAGAGAGCGAGAGGAAGCAUAGGUGGUGGUCAGGAUCGUUGGUUUGAGAGAGAUUACCAUUGGUAGGAACUUGAAAGCUUUGAUCUUUCUGGUGAUUUGACAUCACCCGUCCACACAUCGCAUGUUCACACAUCAUCCGUCCAUGCAAUAAACGUCCAUAUGUAAUCAAAGGGUGGAGACGAGACUGUGUGACGAAACGAAAUAGUCUCCCCUUUCGACUAGAGCUGUCAAAUGGUCCGUCCAUGGCCCAAUUGGGCAUGACCAUUUGGACUAUUUCAGUUUUGGACAGUAAUAGGUGGUCCAUAUUGGACAAUGGUCCAACAAAUGUCCAAGACCAAUAGAGACCAUGUCAAAAUGGGCAUGCCCAUGGACACCCAAUAAUAUUUAUAAUUAUUUUUUAAUUAUUAGUUUAGAUUUUAUUUCUAAAAUUUUGAAAUUAUGUUUACUUUCCAAAAUUAUAAAAGUAAUUUUUUUCUUAUCA
This is a long non-coding RNA of Brassica rapa (field mustard), 18130 nucleotides long. RefSeq lists it as uncharacterized. NCBI's taxonomy places the organism in Eukaryota, Viridiplantae, Streptophyta, Magnoliopsida, Brassicales, Brassicaceae. The record is from RefSeq and is a predicted model, not a curated record.